This 777-nucleotide ribosomal RNA is filed under the name Triticum aestivum (bread wheat). RNAcentral's name for it is "partial small subunit ribosomal RNA". Lineage: Eukaryota; Viridiplantae; Streptophyta; Magnoliopsida; Poales; Poaceae. The record is from RNAcentral.
AUGUUUAUUAAGGAGCAGGGAUAUUUCAAGCGCUUCGAGACGGACGGCACUCUUGAUUGGUCGUUCCCCAGUGAUUACAUCAAUUGUGCUCUACUGAAUGACUACCAGCGCCUAGUCCCUCGAAAUUAUGGUGGUAGUGAGUACAUCAGAUGGAGUGAGUACCAUGAGUACUUGAAUAGCUAUGAGAUUGAACAGGAAUACGUCGAGUACAGUGAGGAAUUAGCCAAGCAACUGAAGUGGAUGGAAGAUUAUAUACAUUUUGACCGGCCAUCUUUUAAGUAUGACUUCAUCUCUUCCCGAGGAGCUUACCAGGCAAUAAAGAUUGCUGCUACUGGCUUUCGCGGAAUCACUCCGGCUUUAGCUUACAAUGGCUACUAUGAAUGUAUAGAGAGCAUGGGCUAUGACCUUGCUUGGCUUAAGGAGUUAGAUGGUGUCUAUUUUGAGAUUUGGCGGCGGGUCACUCAGGGAAUGAGUUUCAAAGAUGCUCUGGCAGAGGUUUGUCAUCUCAACAGGUUUCCGUUACAUCAACAUAGAAUGGAACGUGCCCUGGAGUUUGAUGAAGCGAUGGAGGAGAUGGAAGAAGAGUUCCGUAUCUGCACGGCAGCCAUUACCCCAGAAGUUAAAGAGGAUAAAGCUCGGGAGUUGAUUGCAGGGGCGGUUAAAGAGCUGCUUGAUGAUACGCCGAAGUCCUAUGAGCAGUAUAUCAUAAAGAAGAUGCACAUUGCCCGAGUUGUUGGAAUCCUUCCUGACAAGAGGAUUGAAGAUUCUCAAGAAUGA